Molecule: ribosomal RNA, 253 nt
Filed under: uncultured bacterium
Lineage: Bacteria
Description: partial 16S ribosomal RNA
Rfam family: Bacterial small subunit ribosomal RNA
Source: RNAcentral
UACGUAGGGUGCGAGCGUUAAUCGGAAUUACUGGGCGUAAAGCGUGCGCAGGCGGUUUUGUAAGCCGGAUGUGAAAUCCCCGGGCUUAACCUGGGAAUGGCAUUCGGGACUGCAAGGCUGGAGUGCGGCAGAGGAGACUGGAAUUCCCGGUGUAGCGGUGAAAUGCGUAGAGAUCGGGAGGAACACCCGUGGCGAAGGCGGCGCUCUGGUCGGCAUCUGACGCUGAGAGGCGAAAGCGUGGGGAGCGAACAGG